CCUCUCGUAGCUUAGUAGUAAGAGCAUUGGUGCGUAAAGCCAAAGGUCCCGGGUUCGAUUCCCGGCGAGGGCA
Molecule: transfer RNA, 73 nt
Filed under: Agrilus planipennis (emerald ash borer)
Lineage: Eukaryota; Metazoa; Arthropoda; Insecta; Coleoptera; Buprestidae
Rfam family: tRNA
About the family: Transfer RNA (tRNA) molecules are approximately 80 nucleotides in length. Their secondary structure includes four short double-helical elements and three loops (D, anti-codon, and T loops).
Source: Rfam by way of RNAcentral